RNAcentral lists this long non-coding RNA (1283 nucleotides) under Homo sapiens (human). RNAcentral's name for it is "HSALNT0034641". The record is from RNAcentral. Lineage: Eukaryota; Metazoa; Chordata; Mammalia; Primates; Hominidae.
AGCCUUGCUAUGUUUCCCAGACUUGUCUCAAACUUCUGGCCUCAAUCCUCCCUCCUCGACUUCCCAAAGUCCUGGGAUUACAGGCAUGAGCCACUGCAGCUGGCAAAAAUAUAAAUUUCUAACUGUAGGAAUUCACUCUAAGGGUAUACUUGCAGUUGUACUUAACAGUUUAUUAUGGUGAUAUUUAUCACAGAAAUGUUUAUAAUCAUCCUCAUAAAAUGAUAGCCUUAGGAGAUCUUUUUAAUGUGCUAGCUUGGCAAAUUUUUUUUUUUUAAAAAACUGACAAGUCUGUAUUGUCUCCAGUAGCAAAGACUCACUAGCCCAUGAAACAAUAAGUCUAAGAAUAAAUUUAUUAGAUCUAUUAAUAUAUCCCUCUAAGACUUGGUAUUAGAGAUAAAAGUUUGUAUCUAUAUGGCUUAUAGGCAACCCAGUCACAGAUAAUCUUCUCUAGUGAGAAAAGGUGCCAGGAAAUUCACUUUGAUUUGAGUCAUUGAAUGUGAGAACCUCUCUACCACCAGCCCAGGAGGGUACCUGAGGACACUUGUGGUCAUGGAAGAUAACGGCUCUCAGAAGUGUAGAGGGUAUAGGCUGUGUGGCUAUAUAGUACUACUACUCAAAGAAAGGAUUUAAUGAGGCCUUUUCUGUGUCCAGAGAUUAAAUGAAAAAGCUGCCCAGCCCCUGGCAUGGAUCUCUGGGAAGAGAUGGAAAUGGUGCCCCAUUCCAGGAGAGAGUUCUCAGAACUGGCUGUGUUCAGAGAGCCCCGUAAUUGGGAGUCAAAGCAUGCUGCUUCUCUGAUUAGACCCAGCACCAGGACCAGGAUUAUAACACAAAUGCCUCGAGACACCAGGCAGGCGAUAUAAAGGCUUCUAUGAGGCUGUGUGUAAAACACAGACAUUAAUAUUAGCCAUGAAAUGUGUGUUGUCAAAUAAACCACUACUGAGGGUCAGAUUUGGCACACAGGUGGCCAGUUUAUGACCCUUGACUGAGGGAAUGAGUUCAUCCUUCUUCUGUAGGAAUCCUUCUGCAGGAAUCUGGUUCAGACAGGCGCUCUACCCAGGGUACACAGGGCUGCUGCUGUGUGGUGCAGGGCCAGUGUCAAUAUCAGCAGUGGUGCCACGUGGCAGUGAGGAGCAGGAGCGAGCUGACCCAUCCAGCUUUCUACAGAUACUGGAUCUUCUGUUGAUAGCACAGCACCCUGGAUAGCUCUCUACACAUGUGGAGCCAGCAUUCUAAGAAGAGUCUAAUUUCAUCUUUAUUCUUUCAAAAACGAGCCUGAAACGAAA